AUGUCAUAUGUUUACAUUGUGCAGAUUUAUGCAGUCGGAUCUUCCUCCAAUAAUGGAAUAUAUGCACUGGAUUUUCAUCCAGAUACAAGCUCUGCAUGCCAUGUGGACUACAAUGAGGAAACAAAAGGCUCUGAGGAAAAUCAACCUGCAGAAAACAAGUUUAUUCCCUUAUCCGAAAGGGUGCUUUCCUGUGCAGCCCAUCCACUCAGUCAUGACAUAAUUUGUGGUACCGAGUUCUCGUCGUUGCUCAUGGUAUCACAAAAGCAUGAGACCGUCAGAGAUCCAGAGUAG
Molecule: ribosomal RNA, 291 nt
Filed under: Triticum aestivum (bread wheat)
Lineage: Eukaryota; Viridiplantae; Streptophyta; Magnoliopsida; Poales; Poaceae
Description: partial small subunit ribosomal RNA
Source: RNAcentral